Molecule: transfer RNA, 73 nt
Filed under: Bos taurus (domestic cattle)
Lineage: Eukaryota; Metazoa; Chordata; Mammalia; Artiodactyla; Bovidae
Also listed under: 4 other names
Rfam family: tRNA
About the family: Transfer RNA (tRNA) molecules are approximately 80 nucleotides in length. Their secondary structure includes four short double-helical elements and three loops (D, anti-codon, and T loops).
Source: Rfam by way of RNAcentral
UCCCUGGUGGUCCAGUGGUUAAGGCUCUGUGCUUUCACUGAAAAGGGUAUAGGUUCAAAUCCUGGCCAGGGAA